RNAcentral lists this ribosomal RNA (437 nucleotides) under uncultured bacterium. Its description in RNAcentral is "partial 16S ribosomal RNA". It matches the Rfam family "Bacterial small subunit ribosomal RNA", at positions 28 to 507 of the family's 1533-position model. The record is from RNAcentral.
GAUGAACGCUGGCGGCAUGCUUAACACAUGCAGGUCGAACGGGAAGUGGUGUUUCCCGUGGCGAACGGGUGAGUAACGCGUAAGAACCUGCCCUUGGGAGGGGAACAACAACUGGAAACGGUUGCUAAUACCCCGUAGGCUGAGGAGCAAAAGGAGAAAUCCGCCCAAGGAGGGGCUCGCGUCUGAUUAGCUAGUUGGUGAGGUAAUAGCUUACCAAGGCGAUGAUCAGUAGCUGGUCCGAGAGGAUGAUCAGCCACACUGGGACUGAGACACGGCCCAGACUCCUACGGGAGGCAGCAGUGGGGAAUUUUCCGCAAUGGGCGAAAGCCUGACGGAGCAAUGCCGCGUGGAGGUGGAAGGCCUACGGGUCGUCAACUUCUUUUCUCGGAGAAGAAACAAUGACGGUAUCUGAGGAAUAAGCAGCGGCUAACUCUGUG